Molecule: ribosomal RNA, 1544 nt
Filed under: Francisella opportunistica
Lineage: Bacteria; Pseudomonadati; Pseudomonadota; Gammaproteobacteria; Thiotrichales; Francisellaceae
Description: bacterial SSU rRNA
Rfam family: Bacterial small subunit ribosomal RNA
Source: RNAcentral
UUAAACUGAAGAGUUUGAUCCUGGCUCAGAUUGAACGCUGGUGGCAUGCUUAACACAUGCAAGUCGAACGGUAGCAGGACUAGCUUGCUAGUUGCUGACGAGUGGCGGACGGGUGAGUAACGCGUAGGAAUCUACCCAUUUGAGGGGGAUACCAGUUGGAAACGACUGUUAAUACCGCAUAAUAUCUGUGGAUUAAAGGUGGCCUUUGUGCUGUCGCAGAUGGAUGAGCCUGCGUUGGAUUAGCUAGUUGGUAGGGUAAGGGCCUACCAAGGCUACGAUCCAUAGCUGAUUUGAGAGGAUGAUCAGCCACAUUGGGACUGAGACACGGCCCAAACUCCUACGGGAGGCAGCAGUGGGGAAUAUUGGACAAUGGGGGCAACCCUGAUCCAGCAAUGCCAUGUGUGUGAAGAAGGCUCUAGGGUUGUAAAGCACUUUAGUUGGGGAGGAAAGCCUAUGGGUUAAUAGCCUGUGGGGAGGACGUUACCCAAAGAAUAAGCACCGGCUAACUCCGUGCCAGCAGCCGCGGUAAUACGGGGGGUGCAAGCGUUAAUCGGAAUUACUGGGCGUAAAGGGUCUGUAGGUGGUUUGUUAAGUCAGAUGUGAAAGCCCAGGGCUCAACCUUGGAACUGCAUUUGAUACUGGCAAACUAGAGUAUGGUAGAGGAAUGGGGAAUUUCUGGUGUAGCGGUGAAAUGCGUAGAGAUCAGAAGGAACACCGAUGGCGAAGGCAACAUUCUGGACUGAUACUGACACUGAGGGACGAAAGCGUGGGGAUCAAACAGGAUUAGAUACCCUGGUAGUCCACGCUGUAAACGAUGAGUACUAGCUGUUGGAGUCGGUGUAAAGGCUCUAGUGGCGCAGCUAACGCGAUAAGUACUCCGCCUGGGGACUACGGCCGCAAGGCUAAAACUCAAAGGAAUUGACGGGGACCCGCACAAGCGGUGGAGCAUGUGGUUUAAUUCGAUGCAACGCGAAGAACCUUACCUGGUCUUGACAUCCACAGAACUUUUCAGAGAUGAAUUGGUGCCUUCGGGAACUGUGUGACAGGUGCUGCACGGCUGUCGUCAGCUCGUGUUGUGAAAUGUUGGGUUAAGUCCCGCAACGAGCGCAACCCCUAUUGAUAGUUACCAUCAUUAAGUUGGGUACUCUAUUGAGACUGCCGCUGACAAGGCGGAGGAAGGUGGGGACGACGUCAAGUCAUCAUGGCCCUUACGACCAGGGCUACACACGUGCUACAAUGGGUAUUACAGAGGGCUGCGAAGGAGCGAUCUGGAGCGAAACUCAAAAAGGUACUCUUAGUCCGGAUUGCAGUCUGCAACUCGACUGCAUGAAGUCGGAAUCGCUAGUAAUCGCAGGUCAGAAUACUGCGGUGAAUACGUUCCCGGGUCUUGUACACACCGCCCGUCACACCAUGGGAGUGGGUUGCUCCAGAAGUAGAUAGCUUAACGAAAGGGCGUUUACCACGGAGUGAUUCAUGACUGGGGUGAAGUCGUAACAAGGUAGCCGUAGGGGAACCUGCGGCUGGAUCACCUCCUUAACGGAAAU